Molecule: ribosomal RNA, 253 nt
Filed under: uncultured bacterium
Lineage: Bacteria
Description: partial 16S ribosomal RNA
Rfam family: Bacterial small subunit ribosomal RNA
Source: RNAcentral
UACGUAGGGGGCAAGCGUUGUCCGGAUUUAUUGGGCGUAAAGCGCACGCAGGCGGUUCAUUAAGUUUGGAGUGGCAGUUCCUGGCUCAACCGGGAAAGUGCUUCGAACACUGGUGAACUUGAGGGCUUCAGAGGGACACGGAAUUCCAGGUGGAGUGGUGAAAUGCGUAGAGAUCUGGAAGAACACCAAAGGCGAAGGCAGCAUCCUGGGAAGUUCCUGACGCUCGGGUGCGAAAGCCAGGGGAGCGAACGGG